Molecule: non-coding RNA, 31 nt
Filed under: Homo sapiens (human)
Lineage: Eukaryota; Metazoa; Chordata; Mammalia; Primates; Hominidae
Source: RNAcentral
UGAGCUAUUCCCUGAUAUCACCCUGUGGCCA